Molecule: ribosomal RNA, 516 nt
Filed under: Munida intermedia
Lineage: Eukaryota; Metazoa; Arthropoda; Malacostraca; Decapoda; Munididae
Description: partial large subunit ribosomal RNA
Rfam family: Bacterial large subunit ribosomal RNA
Source: RNAcentral
GUCUGUAUGAAGAUAUAUAGAGUCUAACCUGCCCGUUGAAAAAUUUUGAAAGGCCGCGGUAUAUUAACUGUGCAAAGGUAGCAUAAUCAUUAGUUUUUUAAUUGAAGGCUUGUAUGAAGGGUUGGACAAAGAAAAAUCUGUCUUCUAUUUUUAUUUUUGAAUUUUACUUUUAAGUGAAAAGGCUUAAUUAAUUUAAAGGGACGAUAAGACCCUAUAAAUCUUUAUAUUAAUUUAUUUUUAAAUAACUAAUUUUGUAAAAUGAUUUAUAAAAAUAAAAAAUAUUUUGUUGGGGCGAUGAGAAUAUAAAUAUAACUGUUUUAAAAUGUAAACAAAGUUAUUUGUUAAAAUUUAAAGAUCCUUUAUAAAGAUUAGAAGUUUAAGUUACUUUAGGGAUAACAGCGUUAUUUUUUUUGAGAGUUCUUAUCGAAAAGAAAGUUUGCGACCUCGAUGUUGAAUUAAAAUAUCUUUAUGGUGUAGCUGCUAUAGUAAGAGAGUCUGUUCGACUUUUAAAUUUUU